Gasterosteus aculeatus aculeatus (three-spined stickleback) is the source of this 584-nucleotide non-coding RNA. The record is from RefSeq and is a predicted model, not a curated record. NCBI's taxonomy places the organism in Eukaryota, Metazoa, Chordata, Actinopteri, Perciformes, Gasterosteidae.
CAAGCAGGGUCAUGGGCUAGGGAUAACACUUGCUGUCUGAAUGGUUUAGGGACGACCACCUGCUUGACAACCCCUAAACCCCGAACGUUACCCUGCGCUGCCCACCUGCGCAUAAGAACGCCAGCCUCCAUGAAUUUUCAUUGAAGUGGAAAUACUGGACUGGGCUGGCUCCACGUUCACACGCUCAAGAAUCGAGUCUGACAGGUCCACCUCGUCUCCCAACCUACGGGACUGGGCCCGUGUAAGCACACAAGCUGGGAACACAUGAGGGCGAGCCAGCCGGUACUCGAGCCUAGCCGCAGCACUUCUGGACCCAACAGAGGAACGAGGCGAAAGGUCGGCCCUAGGGCCUGCCUUGGGACGGAGAUUUUAUAAUGAUCGGCGACGGCGAAUAACUCUGACCUGCGCAUCCCUCCCAGCUGGUCAAGGGAUGGAGCUGCUAGAAAAACAGCCAGUGCUGGAGCAGCCAUUCUAAUACUCACAAACCCCAACGACGGAAAAUAAACACAGAACCAUGAGAGGACAUCAGCGAGCCACCAGAAGCGCUCUGCCAUCAGAUCUGCAGAACCCUUCUCUUCCCCCCC